CGUCAAUGUUAAAAGCAUUACCUCGUAUUUGUCAGUUGGCUGCAUAUUAUUAGCCGUUAAUUAUUGUGGUUUGUGAUAGUACAUUGUUUCUCGCUGCUGCUCUCCGCUAUUCGGGAAUUAUCUCCUACGUCACGCAAGGUGCGACAAGGAUGAAAGGAGCAGAAGAACGAUUUGCGAGAUCUCGGGACACACCUAGACAUUUGGCAAAUGUUCCGGAACAGUGAUUUAUGAAAUAUACAGGGUGUUCCAUAAAUAAUGGGAGUAGCCAGAAAAAAUUACACGCACCUACAGCAGAAUGUCUGGUCUAUUGAAUAAAAUCAAAAGUACAGGAUGUUCAGCAUAGAACUCGAUAAAAUUGUAAUAAAAGUUGACUAAAACGAUUUUUUUUAAAAUUUUUUGUUAAAUUUUGCUGGUCUGUAACUUAGUAAUUAGUAAUAAUAUUUAUUGGUUUAUAUUGUUAAUAAAUAGUAUAUACCUUCGA
This 481-nucleotide unclassified non-coding RNA is filed under the name Anthonomus grandis grandis. RNAcentral describes it as "uncharacterized LOC126740480". The record is from RNAcentral. Lineage: Eukaryota; Metazoa; Arthropoda; Insecta; Coleoptera; Curculionidae.